AGUGAACGCUGGCGGCAGGCCUAACACAUGCAAGUCGAACGGCAGCACGGCAGUAGCAAUACUGUGGGUGGCGAGUGGCGGACGGGUGAGGAAUACAUCGGGAUCUACCCUGUUGUGGGGGAUAACGUAGGGAAACUUACGCUAAUACCGCAUAAGAACUGAGGUUGAAAGCGGCGGACCGCAAGGCGUCGCGCGAUUGGAUGAACCGAUGUCCGAUUAGCUAGUUGCGGGGUAAAGCCCACCAAGGCGACGAUCGGUAGCUGGUCUGAGAGGACGACCAGCCACACUGGAACUGAGACACGGUCCAGGACUCCUACGGGAGGCAGGC
Molecule: ribosomal RNA, 328 nt
Filed under: uncultured bacterium
Lineage: Bacteria
Description: bacterial SSU rRNA
Rfam family: Bacterial small subunit ribosomal RNA
Source: RNAcentral